GACGAACGCUGGCGGCGCGCUUAACACAUGCAAGUCGAACGGAAAGGCCUGCUUUCCCUUGUGGAUUGCGGGUACUCGAGUGGCGAACGGGUGAGUAACACGUGAGUGAUCUGCCCCCAACUUGGGUAUAAGCCUGGGAAACUGGGUCUAAUUCCCGAUAGGACUGCAGGGUGGUGCCUGUGGUGGAAAACGAUUUUCUAGUGGUUGGGGAUGAGCUCGCGGCCUAUCAGCUUGUUGGUGGGGUAAUGGCCUACCAAGGCGGCGACGGGUAGCCGGCCUGAGAGGGUGGACGGCCACAUUGGGACUGAGAUACGGCCCAGACUCCUACGGGAGGCAGCAGUGGGGAAUAGUGCACAAUGGGCGGAAGCCUGAUGCAGCGACGCGGCGUGGGGGAUGACGGCCUUCGGGUUGUAAACUCCUUUCGACCGCGAGGAAGCCACCUGGUUGGAAGGGUGGUGACGGUAGUGGUAGAAGAAGCACCGGCUAACUACGU
This 493-nucleotide ribosomal RNA is filed under the name uncultured bacterium. RNAcentral describes it as "partial 16S ribosomal RNA". It matches the Rfam family "Bacterial small subunit ribosomal RNA", at positions 28 to 506 of the family's 1533-position model. The record is from RNAcentral.